RNAcentral lists this ribosomal RNA (2854 nucleotides) under Brassica rapa (field mustard). RNAcentral describes it as "eukaryotic LSU rRNA". The stretch from base 1 to 1609 matches the Rfam family "Eukaryotic large subunit ribosomal RNA". The record is from RNAcentral. Lineage: Eukaryota; Viridiplantae; Streptophyta; Magnoliopsida; Brassicales; Brassicaceae.
AUCGCACCACGAGGCACCUGUCUACGUAGGGUUGUUUGGGAAUGCAGCCCCAAUCGGGGUGGUAAAUUCUGUCCAAGGCUAAAUGUGAAGAGAGACGGAUAGAGAACAAUUACCGAGGUAAAGAUGGAAAGGACUUUGAAAAGAGAGUCAAAGAGUGCUUGAAAUUGUCGGGAGGGAAGCGGAUGGGGCGGCCGAUUCAUCCCGGUCGGAUCGCGGAACGGACCAAUCGGUCGCCAAUCGGUCGGGCCAUGGACGAUGCAGAUUAAGGUGGUGACCUAAGCACGGGCUUUUUGUUUCGCCAGCGGAGCGUCGCUGCCUUAAUUGUGGUCUGCAGCACGCCUCAUGGUGUGCCUCGGCAUCUUCAUGCUCAAAGCGUCAACCUGUGGGCUCCCAUUAGACCCAUCUUGAAACACGGACAAGGAGUCUGACAUGUGCGCGAGUCAACGGGUGAGUAAACCCGUAAAGGCGCAAGGAAGCUGAUUGGCUGGAUCCCUCGCGGGUGCACAGCCAACCGACCUUGAUCUUCCGAGAAGGGUUGAGUGUGAGCAUGCCGUCGGGACGAAAGAUGGUGAACUAUGCCUGGCGGAAACCAGAGGAAACUCUGGUGGAGGCCCUAAGCGAUCUUGGCGUGCAAAUCGUUCAUCGACUUGGGUAUAGGGAUGAAAGACUAAUCGAACCAUCUAGUAGCUGGUUCCCUCCAGAAGUUUCCCUCAGGGGAUAAAUUUGGAGCUCAAAUGAGUUCAUCGGGUAAAGCCAAUGAUUAGAGGCAUCGGGGCCGCAAUGUCUCGACUAUUCUCAAACUUUAAAUUGGCGGGGACGGGUGGCUGCUUUGUUUGAGCCAUCCCACGGAAUCGAGAGCUCCAAGUGGGCCAUUUUGGUAAGCAGAACUGGAGAUGUGGGAUGAACUGGAAGCGGGUUACGGUGCCCAACUGCACGCUAACCUAGAUACGACAAAGGGUGUUGGUCGAUUAAGACAGCAGGACGAUGGACAUGGAAGUUGAAAUCCGCUAAGGAGUGUGUAACAACUCACCUGCCGAAUCAACUAGCCCCGAAAAUGGAUGGCGCUGGAAGAAGCCGACCUAUCUUCCGCCAUCCGGGCAAAACCGUGCCUCGAUGAGUAGGAGGGUGCGGCGGUGGCCGCUGCAAAACCUAGGGCGGAGCCCGGUGGCGGCCGUCGGUGCAGAUCUUGGUGGUAGUAGCAAAUAUUCAAAUGAUAACUUUGAAGGCGAAGAAGGGAAAGGGUUCCAUUUGAACGGCGGCACUUGCACAUGGGUUAGUCGAUCCUAAGAGUCGGAGGAAACCCGUCUGAUAAGCUUUAUGCACGAACGAAAGGGGAUCGGUUAAAAUUCUGGAACCGGGGCGUGGCGGUUGACAUUUCGUUAGGAAGUCCGGGACGCGUCGGCGGGAUUCAGGAAAGACUUAUCUUUCCUGUUUAACAGCCUGCCCACCAUAGAAAGCGGCUCAGAGGAGGUAGGGUCCAGCGGCUGGAAAAGUGAUAUACCUUGGAUUUGACCCGUUUUCAUCCAUGGUAUAUGGGUUUUUAUAUAUAUAUAUAUAUCUAUGUUUCACUCUUCUAGGUAUGUUUUCAGGUUCAGGUGCAUUUCAGAGUAAAGCUAUGACUUUGGAGCAUUUUGGAGCUUAAAAGACAUUUCAUCCGAAGCUGACCAUGUAGAGGUCGGCGAGAGGAAGAACAAUCGAUUGAUGCACAUCCAGUGCUGUCGAUCGACACCAUGAGAUGCCUCGACAAAUGAAGAUUAAUAUAGAUCGAUGUACACAAGUACCAUCGAUCGAUGUCGGUGAAAUUGAACAUGCGACAUUUUGGAUCCAGCGGACUUGAAGCCCAAGUCCAAGCCCCGACGAAGUUUUAACCUAGUAGAUAUAUACUGCCUAAGUGUUUGUGGAGAGAUUUUUUUUGUUGGUUUUAGAGAGAGAGUUUUGGAGAAGAUCACUUGGAUUGGAACUCCUUGUUUUCAUUUCUUUUUUCUUAUACUAUGAAUUUCCAUUUCUUCAUUGUCAUGAAUUGCUUUGCUAUGUCCGAGUAGUUCAUUUAUUAGAUCCAGGGGUUCAGAUAGGUUUGUGGGAUUAGUCCCAAACUAUAGAUCUGCCUUGUUGUGAUAUUCAUGAUAGAUUUGUAUUCAUUGCUUGUUUUAGCCUUGCUAACUAGAACAUGAUCAUAAGAUUGCAUACUCAAGCACCCUUGUUAUCCCAUCCCGACAUCUAUCUAUCAUAUUAGGACUGCUGAAGAGAGGGCUAACCGCCAAUUUAGUAUCUUAAUAGGGCAUAUCAUACUGGCGCGCGAUAGGCCUGGCUAGAACCCGUCGAUCGAUGUCCUCAACUGACUAUCGGUCGACGUAGUAAAGCGUGUAUCGGUCGAUGUCCCCAUAUGGACCAUCGAUCGGCACUCUUUCGUUGUCAACAUACUAAACCGAGUUGAGACACGAGAUCUGGUUUGUUAACCAAGUGAAACAUCGACAGCUGAUCACUGAGUUCAUGUUGAACUCUCAACAUAUCAUGCAUCAGUGAAACAGGCAUCUAUAAAUAUUAUAAUCUCCAACACCUGAAUAGUGGCCCCCGCCUAAUAUCAUUUCCAACCAAGUUACAUUUACUAUUUCAUCGGCUUGUUACUAUUGCUAUUUCAUUUAAACAUUUACAACUCUAGAAUUAAUAAACACUAGAUUUAAUUGUUCCCUAGCUCUUUUGUGGAUUCGAUCCCUCUUUUGAUGAGAGUAACACUCCUUAGGGUAAUUUGAGUGGUAUCAAAUUUGGCACCGCUGUCGGGAGCUUUGAUCGCCAUUAGAUUUAGUUUUAUUGAUUCUUAUUCUCUUCUACCCCUUUCUAACAUAGUCUUUUCUUU